This 1334-nucleotide ribosomal RNA is filed under the name metagenome. Its description in RNAcentral is "bacterial LSU rRNA". It matches the Rfam family "Bacterial large subunit ribosomal RNA", at positions 1580 to 2925 of the family's 2925-position model. The record is from RNAcentral.
AAGUAGCGAAGGUCAUGAUGUCACACUGCCAAGAAAAGCUUCUAGCCAGAGCAAUUUUACCCGUACCGCAAACCGACACAGGUAGUCGAGUGGAGAACACUCAGGUGAGCGAGAGAACUCUCGUUAAGGAACUCGGCAAAAUGACCCCGUAACUUCGGGAGAAGGGGUGCUGAUGGUAAAAGAUCAGCCGCAGUGAAUAGGCCCAAACAACUGUUUAUCAAAAACACAGGUAUCUGCAAAACCGUAAGAUGACGUAUAGGUGCUGACACCUGCCCGGUGCUGGAAGGUUAAGAGGAGAGCUUAGCGCAAGCGAAGGUUUGAAUUGAAGCCCCAGUAAACGGCGGCCGUAACUAUAACGGUCCUAAGGUAGCGAAAUUCCUUGUCGGGUAAGUUCCGACCUGCACGAAAGGUGUAAUGAUUUGGGCACUGUCUCAACGAGAGACUCGGUGAAAUUAUAAUACCCGUGAAGAUGCGGGUUACCCGCGACAGGACGGAAAGACCCCAUGGAGCUUUACUGUAGCUUGAUAUUGAGUAUUUGUUAAACAUGUACAGGAUAGGUAGGAGCCAGAGAAAGUAGGACGCUAGUCUUACUGGAGGCAAUGUUGGGAUACUACCCUUGUUUGAUGGAUCCUCUAACUCGCAGAGCUGAGCGUUCUGGAGGACAGUGUCAGGUGGGCAGUUUGACUGGGGCGGUCGCCUCCUAAAAUGUAACGGAGGCGCCCAAAGGUUCCCUCAGAAUGGUUGGAAAUCAUUCGCAGAGUGUAAAGGUAUAAGGGAGCUUGACUGCGAGAGGUACACCUCGAGCAGGGACGAAAGUCGGGCUUAGUGAUCUGGUGGUACUGCAUGGAAAGGCCAUCACUCAACGGAUAAAAGCUACCCUGGGGAUAACAGGCUUAUCUCCCCCAAGAGUUCACAUCGACGGGGAGGUUUGGCACCUCGAUGUCGGCUCGUCGCAUCCUGGGGCUGAAGUCGGUCCCAAGGGUUGGGCUGUUCGCCCAUUAAAGCGGCACGCGAGCUGGGUUCAGAACGUCGUGAGACAGUUCGGUCCCUAUCCGUCGUGGGCGUAGGAAAUUUGAGAGGAGCUGUCCUUAGUACGAGAGGACCGGGAUGGACAUACCGCUGGUGUACCAGUUGUCUUGCCAAAGGCAUCGCUGGGUAGCUAUGUAUGGAAGGGAUAAGCGCUGAAAGCAUCUAAGUGCGAAGCCCCCCUCAAGAUGAGAUUUCCGAUGCGUAAGCAGUAAGACACCUUAAAGACGAUGAGGUAGAUAGGCUAGGAGUGGAAGCAUAGCGAUAUGUGGAGCGGACUAGUACUAAUCAGUCGAGCACUUGACCAG